UGGGCCCAGCUCGGACUGGUCCGCCGGGCCCAAGGGCUCUGGUGCCUUCUGGAAAGCGCUGGCUGGGACUUCACCCUCCUCCUGCAUGUGACGGACACAGCACUGAUCCUGGCAGCUCCUUACCCCCAGCAGCCCGAAACUCACUCCUUAAUUACACAAGGGAAACCUUUUACCUCCGCAGCCAGAGUCUGGGGGGAAAGGCAGGCGUGGGAAGAUGGGUUCUCUACCUGGCCAGUGCCAUGUUGCCUGUUUCUUUACUGUAACUGUGGUGACAAAGAAAAGGGAAGAUGGAGCCUCCAUGUUGAACAUACCUGGCCCCCAGCACUAACUCCCUCUCUGGAUAUCUGGAACAAGGAGGACCUUAAACUUAACAAUAAAGCCAAUGAUGGUUCUACCAGUCUCCCCAAAGCCUCAAGUUUAAAAGCCAUAUGAACUGGCUGAUAGUGGAAAAUGGAAGCCAUGAGGAAAUCAGAUUAGAGUACUACCUGGUGAAGCCUGGAGGACCUACCAAGAAAAGCAAACUUGGAUCUUUGCAAGGUUAGAAGAACGAAUGGGAUCCAAGAAAAAGACUGGUCAUAUUCAACGGCUAAGAGCGUUGGAGAAGGCCUGUGGAGUCUCAGCAGGUCAGGUCCAUGACUCAUGAGUAGACACCUGUGUUUCUACUGCCUGGUGCCAUAAUCAUAAACAAGGAAGAAACUGAGGACAGGAGGGGCCAAACAAGUUACAGUUUCAUCCCUCCAGAGAGCCAACAGAGUAUUUUGCACGAAGUUGAAGCUAAACAGGUAUUAUGUCCUAUCUCUGGACUGAAUGACUAGAUGCUACUCAGCUUCUGAACUAGAGGAAGCCUGGGACCUUGACCGCACUAAUGCUGAUGACAGCGGAUUUGCAAGUGGCUAGAGGUACCAGAUUUAGCAAAUCAAAAUAUAGGACGUCAAGUUAAAUUUAAGUGUAAGAUAAGCUACGAAUACCUUUUCUAGUAUUAGUACGUCCCAUGCAAUAUACUAGAAAUGUUAUUCGUUAUUUAUGUUAAAUUUAAUUUUAUUAGGGCAUCCUAUAUUUUACCUGUCAAUCCAACCCAUGACCUAGGCAGACACUGUAGAAAAACAAAAGGAGAAUUAAGGAGAUAAAUGAAACACAGGGUGAGCUGAAAAGAGGUGCUCUGUGAAUUUGAGGGUCCAGUAGGAGCUGACUUGUAGGUACUUGGUCUGUUUUGAUGCCCACAACAACCUUGGGGAAGGGGCGGAAUAGCAGAGGGGUAAGCUCUCUGCCCCCCACCAGGGUUCUGCAGGACGCCAGGGCUUUUAUCAGCACCCCUAUGUUCACAUCCUGGCUGCACCCUCCUUGGUUGUAUAUACUCUGGAUAAUUCACUUAAUUUAAAUCUUGCUGCUUUUAUAAAAUUGAUAAAAAGUUAAUAGUGACACUGAUCACACUGAUGUCCCUCAAUGAAUUAUCAAUAUGUUUUUUCUUCCCACCUAUAUUCUUUAUUGAACUCUGUUAUUUUUGAUCCUGGUCUAGAGUAAGCAUUAUGACCAUGCAAGAGUGAAAUGAAAUUUUUAAAAAUAAUUUUUUAAUGUUUUCUGAAUGCUGGGUGUUUUCAAUGAUCAUGCAUGACUGGCAGCAAAGAGGAACGAGGAUGGAUUCGAUAAGGUGCAACAAGUCCUGAACACACACAGAGAACUGGCUGUGAAUCCUGUUUCUGCCACUCACCACUUACUUGUUGGUGAAAAUGCUCAGGAUGUUCACUGCAGCCUGCCUCACCCUGGAAAAGAGAUGUGAGGAUAAUGAGAAAGAAGAGUAUGUUCAGUGCGGAGCAUGCAAAUUUGCAUGAAAACUUCCCAGGCAAAGCAGGAAAGAAACCAGACCUCUUUUCUGCACAAUAAUGGGGCCCACUAACUCUGGGGAAAAGAGUAAUCAGCAAAUGCCUUUCCUUUCUCCUGCUGAUGUUUUGCCCGUACUCAGACCCCUUGACUUCUUAGCUUCUACCCAAAGUGAGCUUGUCAUCAAAGUUCUCCAAAAAUCUGCAGUGUUCUCUUGAGCAAAUCUGCUUCCAAGACUAUAGCGCUCUGAUGCAUUGAGAUGACAGCAAGCGGCAUUUUUCAGUCCUGUUACCCAUAUGGCUGCUACCACUGCAUCCUGUUAAAUAAUGUCUUCAACCCAAGAAACCUGCUUCCUAGGGAAGUUUCUCUCUCUCUGCAUUUGUUCCCACUAGAGAAUGACCAUCACCAGAUUCCUGAACUGAAAAUGCUGUUGACACUUUGGAAACUCGGGCCUCUAUUAAUAGGGUGACCAACUAUCCUGGUUUACCUUGAGUACAGGAUUUUCAAUGCUAAAACCAGAAAAACCAGGAUGGUUGGUCAUCUGCCUCAGACCUAAUAAAUACCAGUCAAUAAUUCAGCCAUGAGCUUUCUUAAGACACUGUCUUUUCUUGACUGUUGAAUAGUCUAGGACUUGAGUAGCAGCUCUUUCUGCUACUGGACACUUGUUUUACUACCCUAUUUCUCUAGAUUUUAUUUUGUGGCUAAUAAUUAAGACAUAAAAUCAUGGGUUCUGGUUAUGCCAAAGCACUCACUCUUCAAAAGUUUCCAUCCAGAGUUGGAUAAUCCCACACAGAAGGUGUUCUUUCAACAGACCAGCAUCCAAUAGACCCAAUGCAGCAUUUUUCUUCCUGGUUCCACAUUAAUACAUCCUAUCUCUGCUAUGCUUAGGUCCCUGAUUUAUAAAUAUUUCAGACAUAUUUUCUCAGGACACAGGGAGUACUUAAACUUCCACAUAGCAGAGAUACGACAUACAAUAAGCUGUUAUCUGGAAACUCCUAGUGAUGCUUUGAGUACUUUACAGUAAUCUUUCUGGUCUUCCUCUCAACCCCAUUAAGUUUUUCUGUAACUAGCUGGUGUAUCUGUCUCCAUCUUUAAGGAAUAAGUCCCUAUUUGCUCAUGCUAUAAUCUCCCUCAUGCUCUCCGUCCCUCCUUCCCUCUCCUUCUCUCUUUCUGUCUCUCUCUCUCUCCACCCUGAUUGUGAGAUGCUACACCUUAAUAGUUUUCUAUACCUAGAUCCCUUUUGAAGGAGUAAUUUCAGCCAUCACUGAAAUCUAUGCUUUUUUAUCUUGUUAGAUUUAUUUAGGACCUAAUGACUGUUUCUGAGCUAAUAAUAACGCAAUCAGCUCAUAUUUUUCUGAUACUCUAAGAGCAAUUACAUCUAGUUGCAUCACCUUUUCCUUUUUUAUUCAUGUAUCUUAGGCUUCUCAAGAUAUGAGACUAGCACUUGAGCCUGAGAUAAGCCUUAAGAAUUCCAGGAUAGUCUCUCCAUAGUUCCCUUUCUUGGAUAAAGUCAUUUCAAAACAUCUUAGUGGAUCAGAUUUGGAGCAGCCUACUUACACUGGUGAAUACCACAACUAAUAAAUAAUUGUUCUGCACCCCACCCACAUCUAAAGGAUUCAGGGUGUCUUUUACAGAUAUAGGACUCUCCUUUCUCUGUUUCUCUUCUCUCUCUUCUCCUUGAUUAAAGCUUUGCUUCAGCUGUCCCUGCUCACUACGGCACUGCACCUCACCAGCAUCUUCAUGGCCCUCACAUGGCUCAUGUGCAUAUCCUAACUCUGAUACUAAGGGAGGAGACCACCCCUCAUAUUGUCUUAUGCCCAAUUUCUGCCUCCAAAGAAAGAAGAAGUAAAAACUAAAAGGCAGAAAUGAAAUCCACAAGCAGACAGCCCGGCGCCACACCCUGGGCCUGGUAGUUAAAGAUCGACCCCUGACCUAAUCGGUUAUUUGCAUAAGAAAAGCACUGUGAAGAUCCCUGUCCUGUUCUGUUCCAUUCUAAUUACCGGUGUAUGCAGCCCCCAGUCAUGUACCCCUGCUUGCUCAAUCGAUCACGACCCUCUCACGUGGACCCCCUUAGAGUUGUGGGCCCUUAAAAGGGACAGGAAUUGCUCACUCGGGGAGCUUGGUUGUUGGAGAUGUGAGUCUUGCUAAAGCUCCCAGCCGAAUAAAGCCCUUCCUUCUUAA
This 3999-nucleotide long non-coding RNA is filed under the name Homo sapiens (human). RNAcentral describes it as "HSALNT0361146". The record is from RNAcentral. Lineage: Eukaryota; Metazoa; Chordata; Mammalia; Primates; Hominidae.